This is a long non-coding RNA of Dunckerocampus dactyliophorus (ringed pipefish), 693 nucleotides long. RefSeq lists it as uncharacterized. Lineage: Eukaryota; Metazoa; Chordata; Actinopteri; Syngnathiformes; Syngnathidae. The transcript is spliced from 5 exons. The record is from RefSeq and is a predicted model, not a curated record.
GCUGCGCGCUCCAUACUCCGCUUAAAGCGUGUGCACAGCCCCCGUAGACAUGAACAAAACAUUUUUCGGCAUGCAAACGCUCUGUCAGGUUGGAUUGAUGACCCCGAGUGAUGAUGCGUUGCCAGGAUACCAGAUCGCCCUCCCCUUUUGGCCUCGACACCCAAGGCUGUUUGAAUGAGAUGAUAAGCAUGUGGAGGACCAGAGUCCCCCAGCAGGAAAAAAGUGCCUUGUGGGCGCUCGGCCUGGGAUGACAACAAGUGAAUAAAUGAAUGAAUCACACAGCCAGUGAAAAUGAAGCGGAUCAUUUUUCCAGCCUCAGUGCAUUGGCACGUGCACGUCUGUUUUCCAGACUGGAAGGGGGUCCACACCAUAGAACAGUGGCAUGAACGGAAAUGUGCCGAGGGCCAAUAAAAAAAGCAGUCGCGGGCCAUAAAUGGCCCCCGGGCCGCACUUUGGACAACCCUGGCCUAAUGGGCCAGCCGGCUCUGCGGAGACAUCUUCUACCGCUUAUCCGAGGCCGGGUCGUGGGGGCAGCAGCCCAGACUUCCCCUCCCCGGCAGAUCCUGAGGCGUUUCCAGGCCAGCUGAGAGACAUCGUCUCUCCCACAUGUCCUGAGUCUUCUUCCCCGAGGCCCCCGACCGGUCGGACGUGCCCUGAACACCUCCCCAGGAAGGCGGCGGUGGGUCGAUAUCA